Molecule: ribosomal RNA, 253 nt
Filed under: uncultured bacterium
Lineage: Bacteria
Description: partial 16S ribosomal RNA
Rfam family: Bacterial small subunit ribosomal RNA
Source: RNAcentral
UACGAAGGGGGCUAGCGUUGUUCGGAAUUACUGGGCGUAAAGCGUGCGCAGGCGGUGAUGUAAGACAGUUGUGAAAUCCCCGGGCUCAACCUGGGAACUGCAUCUGUGACUGCAUUGCUGGAGUGCGGCAGAGGGGGAUGGAAUUCCUGGUGUAGCAGUGAAAUGCGUAGAUAUCAGGAGGAACACCGAUGGCGAAGGCAGGUCUCUGGGCUGACACUGACGCUCAUGCACGAAAGCGUGGGGAGCGAACAGG